RNAcentral lists this transfer RNA (85 nucleotides) under Aridibacter sp. RNAcentral's name for it is "tRNA-Leu". It matches the Rfam family "tRNA". Rfam says of the family: Transfer RNA (tRNA) molecules are approximately 80 nucleotides in length. Their secondary structure includes four short double-helical elements and three loops (D, anti-codon, and T loops). Further hydrogen bonds mediate the characteristic L-shaped molecular structure. tRNAs have two regions of fundamental functional importance: the anti-codon, which is responsible for specific mRNA codon recognition, and the 3' end, to which the tRNAs corresponding amino acid is attached (by aminoacyl-tRNA synthetases). tRNAs cope with the degeneracy of the genetic code in two manners: having more than one tRNA (with a specific anti-codon) for a particular amino acid; and 'wobble' base-pairing, i.e. permitting non-standard base-pairing at the 3rd anti-codon position. The record is from RNAcentral. RNAcentral also lists the same sequence under 1 other name. Lineage: Bacteria; Pseudomonadati; Acidobacteriota; Blastocatellia; Blastocatellales; Blastocatellaceae.
GCCGAGGUGGUGUAAUUGGUAGCCACGCUAGUCUUAGGAACUAGUGCCGUAAGGCGUGCGAGUUCGAGUCUCGCCCUCGGCACCA